Molecule: ribosomal RNA, 1358 nt
Filed under: uncultured bacterium
Lineage: Bacteria
Description: bacterial SSU rRNA
Rfam family: Bacterial small subunit ribosomal RNA
Source: RNAcentral
GAUGAACGCUAGCUACAGGCUUAACACAUGCAAGUCGAGGGGCAGCAUGGUCUUAGCUUGCUAAGGCCGAUGGCGACCGGCGCACGGGUGAGUAACACGUAUCCAACCUGCCGUCUACUCUUGGACAGCCUUCUGAAAGGAAGAUUAAUACAAGAUGGCAUCAUGAGUCCACAUGUUCACAUGAUUAAAGGUAUUCCGGUAGACGAUGGGGAUGCGUUCCAUUAGAUAGUAGGCGGGGUAACGGCCCACCUAGUCUUCGAUGGAUAGGGGUUCUGAGAGGAAGGUCCCCCACAUUGGAACUGAGACACGGUCCAAACUCCUACGGGAGGCAGCAGUGAGGAAUAUUGGUCAAUGGGCGAGAGCCUGAACCAGCCAAGUAGCGUGAAGGAUGACUGCCCUAUGGGUUGUAAACUUCUUUUAUAAAGGAAUAAAGUCGGGUAUGGAUACCCGUUUGCAUGUACUUUAUGAAUAAGGAUCGGCUAACUCCGUGCCAGCAGCCGCGGUAAUACGGAGGAUCCGAGCGUUAUCCGGAUUUAUUGGGUUUAAAGGGAGCGUAGAUGGAUGUUUAAGUCAGUUGUGAAAGUUUGCGGCUCAACCGUAAAAUUGCAGUUGAUACUGGAUAUCUUGAGUGCAGUUGAGGCAGGCGGAAUUCGUGGUGUAGCGGUGAAAUGCUUAGAUAUCACGAAGAACUCCGAUUGCGAAGGCAGCCUGCUAAGCUGCAACUGACAUUGAGGCUCGAAAGUGUGGGUAUCAAACAGGAUUAGAUACCCUGGUAGUCCACACGGUAAACGAUGAAUACUCGCUGUUUGCGAUAUACAGCAAGCGGCCAAGCGAAAGCGUUAAGUAUUCCACCUGGGGAGUACGCCGGCAACGGUGAAACUCAAAGGAAUUGACGGGGGCCCGCGCAAGCGGAGGAACAUGUGGUUUAAUUCGAUGAUACGCGAGGAACCUUACCCGGGCUUAAAUUGCAGAUGAAUUACGGUGAAAGCCGUAAGCCGCAAGGCAUCUGUGAAGGUGCUGCAUGGUUGUCGUCAGCUCGUGCCGUGAGGUGUCGGCUUAAGUGCCAUAACGAGCGCAACCCUUGUUGUCAGUUACUAACAGGUUCCGCUGAGGACUCUGACAAGACUGCCAUCGUAAGAUGUGAGGAAGGUGGGGAUGACGUCAAAUCAGCACGGCCCUUACGUCCGGGGCUACACACGUGUUACAAUGGGGGGUACAGAGGGCCGCUACCACGCGAGUGGAUGCCAAUCCCAAAAACCUCUCUCAGUUCGGACUGGAGUCUGCAACCCGACUCCACGAAGCUGGAUUCGCUAGUAAUCGCGCAUCAGCCACGGCGCGGUGAAUACGUUCCCGGGCCU